This 370-nucleotide ribosomal RNA is filed under the name unidentified archaeon. RNAcentral's name for it is "bacterial SSU rRNA". It matches the Rfam family "Archaeal small subunit ribosomal RNA", at positions 90 to 459 of the family's 1478-position model. The record is from RNAcentral.
UCAGUAACACGUAGUCAACAUGCCCAGGGGACGUGGUAUAACCUCGGGAAACUGAGGAUAAACCGCGAUAGGUCACUACUUCUGGAAUGGGUAAUGACCCAAACCUAUAUGGCCCCUGGAUUGGACUGCGGCCGAUCAGGCUGUUGGUGAGGUAAUGGCCCACCAAACCUGUAACCGGUACGGGCUCUGAGAGGAGGGGUCCCGGAGAUGGGCACUGAGACAAGGGCCCAGCCCUAUGGGGCGCAGCAGGCGCGAAACCUCUGCAAUAGGCGAUAAGCUUGUACAGGGUUACUCUGAGUGAUUUCCGUUAAGGAGAUCUUUUGGCACCUCUAAAAAUGGUGNCAGAAUAAGGGGUGGCAAGUCUGGUUUC